RNAcentral lists this unclassified non-coding RNA (205 nucleotides) under fungal sp. RNAcentral's name for it is "partial internal transcribed spacer region". The record is from RNAcentral. Lineage: Eukaryota; Fungi.
CAAGGUUUCCGUAGGUGAACCUGCGUGUGGCUGCAUGAGAACGUAUUCUCUUGAGACCGUCAUCUCUUGGCUGCAAGGUAAAAGUUCGUCGACUCCUGGUGCAGCGUACCAUCAGAAGUCGCGAAUUUGACUCUGCCGGCAAAGCACCACCAGCUCACACCAGGAGCCUGAAACCCGAACACAACUGGUAACAAUGGAUAUCUUC